RNAcentral lists this unclassified non-coding RNA (203 nucleotides) under Melitaea cinxia (Glanville fritillary). RNAcentral's name for it is "misc RNA ENSMCXG00005001466.1". Lineage: Eukaryota; Metazoa; Arthropoda; Insecta; Lepidoptera; Nymphalidae. The record is from RNAcentral.
GACCUUACAGAAGAUCACAGCUAAAUAAUACUGUUUCCAAGCAGUGUUGUGUUCCUGUGGUGAGUAAGGUGACCAGAGCUCCUGGGGGGAAUUGGGGAUAGGGUCGGCAACGCGUUUGCGAUGCUUCUGGUGUUGUAGGCGUCUAUAAGCUAUGGUAAUCACUUACCAUCAGGUAAGCUGUACGCUUGUUUGCUGACAUAGUU